UGUGUGCGCGCGCGCGCGCACGGGGUCCCUCGACUGCUUAGUAUCCGCCUCCUCCCCCUCCCCCAUCCCGCCCGCCAUCCGUCCUGGCCGCUGAUGGGAGAGGGGCUGUGAGGAUGCAGGCUGGGAGGGGAGAGGCGAUCUAAGGCCAGACCACCCGGAGGUCCUACCCACCGCCCAAGUUCUUUCUUAGUUCACGGGGCCAUGGCGGGGAGAGAAGUGGGAGGGGGCUGCUGUGGAGGCCUCACCGCUGCCCCUCUUCUAAAGGCACACCUAGAUCUCUAACCCUAGGGAAGAAUCCACUGCUCUGCACCCAGAUUCAUUCUUUCUGCCACACUGCUUUUUUUCCUCACUCGAAAUGGUAACGUCUGUUGUCAUUUUGUGGUCCCCACAGUUGUCCAAGAAAGAGGGCCUGGCCCUGUCAGGACCCGCACCGGGUCACACGAUGGUCUCUGUCUGGUCCCACGGCCAAGUGUCAGGCGUCAGUUAGGGUCGGUCCUGGUUCCUCUUCCUCUGCUCCGUCAAGUCUUCUGCGGUCACUUCCAAGCUCUCAUGAGGUUUGGCAGUGUGGCAAUGGGGCAGGGAUAAGAACCAGCCUGGGUCUCAGCCCCUUGCCAUACAUACCUGUCCAGUUUAUCUAUCAGCGCUGUUAACAUAUUAAUCACACAUAUUUUAAAUUCCCUGAUAAUGGCCAAAUCUGCAUUACAUCUGCAUCUGGUUCUGAUGUUUGCUUUGUAUUCUCAAACUGCUUUUUCUUGUCUUUUAGCAUGCCUUAUACUUUUUUGUUGAAAGCUGGACAUAUGUUGGGUAAUGCGAACGGAGGUAAAUAGACCCUUAGCGAGAGGUUUUCUGUCGUGUGUAAUGUUUACUGUAGGUGUAGGUGCCAGAGUCUUCAAGUUCUAGUGUCCUUAUUUUUGUCUCCCCUCUUACCUUGGGGCUUCCCUAAUUACUCUUUGCAGAGAGAGUCCGCAUGUUGCAACUCUUUGAGCUGUACUCCACUCCUGUUCUACUGCAGGCUUGUGACAAGGUGAAAAACGUGUGGAGACGUGUUCUGUAUUCUUCCAAUUAAAUUCCAGGGUUCUGUGGGCCCGUGUUCCUAGGCUGUGACCUUCACGAGUGUUUUGUAGCUUCUCUCUCCCCCUUAUGUAUAAAUGGAAGACUAGAGUGGGCUGGGAUAAGGCUCUGGGAAAAAGUUUUUUCCACUGUAGAGUAGGCCUUUCUCAUGGAGAAGGCUCUGGGUGUAUUUCACAAGAGCACAAUUCCCCUCCCACUGCCAGAGCCAUGAGGGGAUCUUUCUGGGAUCUUCACUGUGAGAACCUGCUGGAGUUCCUGGAUCUAAAGCCCACUAAACCUCUUAAGACUGCACGUGGGGUUUCCCGCUCUCAUACUAUUCCACAGUCUCCAGUAAUUUGUCAAAACUACCGUUUAAGUCUUCUCACCUCUUUAUGUCUCUAGCCUUUUCUGCUCUAUGUACGGAGACAGAGGCUGUGACUCGCCGGAUUUGUCUUUUCUCUAGAAUAAGUGGUGGUCAUUUGCCCUGUGACCUCAGGUCUCUGAAGGGUCUGAGGCAUAGAAAAUUUACGUGGCUCCCUGAACUUGGCAUCUCAGCCUCCAAAUAUUUAACUUGGAGUGCAGAUUAGAAUUCAGACUUCCUGAAUCAACAUUCCUUGUGAGGUUUGAGCAACUGCGACUUAACCCAAGAAGAAGGAAGACAUCUCUGUCACCACCACCACCAUCAAGAGGCCGUCCACUAUACUACUAGGUGCUUGCUUAGACUAGAGUAACUAGUUUCUGAGCCCCGGAAGCGCGUUCUAGAAGGUACAGUUGGGACUUUCUCCUCUGGGCUCUAUUCCGGGACUUGGCCGGACUUCAGAGCCAGGCAGUCCAGGCUGAGUAGAGACUUUGCCACUAUUUGUGUCACUUCGGAAAAGGUACUUCAUGUUUUUGUAACUCAGUUACUUCAUCCCUCAAAGGGAGCUGGUCAUAAUGACCUCACAGGAUUCUUGUGCACACUAAAUGAGAAACUAUCUGAUAUACUGAAAUGCCUGCAUGUAUCAGGUCUUUCUAGUUCCUUUUAAAACUGUGAGCUUGUUAUACUAUGGGUUAGGCUGGGGUAAGUAGGAAAGAGUAGAUGAGAGCUCCAUGGUGGCUUUCAGAGGUCAUAACUGCUAAGACAUUGCCACCGUGCUCCUCAGUGCUUUGUAUACUGUCUUUUGCUUGCCAUAACCAACACUUACUGAAGAAAUUUCAUUUUUGCAUGAGCGUGUCUCCCUCCUCCUCGUGGUCCUGUACCACAGGGAGGAUGAUCCCAGUUCCAGGGGUCAUCUUCCUGGUCUAUGGGUAAUCCAUCCCCUUGGUACUCUCUGGUUCAGGAAGGGGAGGUGAUCUAACUCUGCUCAAUGAGACCUUAGAAGAAGACCGCAGAAGGACUUCUGAAGGAAGUGCCUUCACUCAUAAGAAAAGGCCAUCGAGAAAGAUGAUCUCCUUUUCUUCCUCAGGAAUUUGCUUAACUCCUAGAAUUGUUGCAGCCAUCAAGCUUCCAGCCUUAGGAUGGAAGCUGAUACUGUGAGUGGCAGAAGAAGGAGAUGGAAAAAAGCUGAGUCCUUAGCUGAAUCAAACAACCAUCAAGGCCUCAGUACUUCAAUCAGUGGAUAAUAAAUUUCCUUGUUAAGUUAGUUUUAGCUAAGUUCCUUGUUAUAUGAAAAUGGAGCAAUCGUAAAUGAUGUGUGUGUUCAGGCACAGAACAACUCUUCGAUGAAUAAAUGUUCCUGACUUUUGUCUGUCAGUAA
Long non-coding RNA from Pteropus alecto (black flying fox), 2786 nucleotides. RefSeq lists it as uncharacterized. The record is from RefSeq and is a predicted model, not a curated record. The transcript is spliced from 2 exons. Lineage: Eukaryota; Metazoa; Chordata; Mammalia; Chiroptera; Pteropodidae.